Sander lucioperca (pikeperch) is the source of this 98-nucleotide long non-coding RNA. RefSeq lists it as uncharacterized. The transcript is spliced from 4 exons. The record is from RefSeq and is a predicted model, not a curated record. NCBI's taxonomy places the organism in Eukaryota, Metazoa, Chordata, Actinopteri, Perciformes, Percidae.
GUAUCUGUGGUUAGGGUUCAACACCUCUCCAAAGUGCCAGACGCCAUCGAAUGUGAGCAUUUGCCCACUCAAGUCGGUUACGACGAACUGCAAUCAGG